This 491-nucleotide ribosomal RNA is filed under the name uncultured bacterium. RNAcentral's name for it is "partial 16S ribosomal RNA". It matches the Rfam family "Bacterial small subunit ribosomal RNA", at positions 29 to 507 of the family's 1533-position model. The record is from RNAcentral.
GUGAACGCUGGCGGUAGGCCUAACACAUGCAAGUCGAACGGCAGCACAGUAAGAGCUUGCUCUUACGGGUGGCGCGUGGCGGACGGGUGAGGAAUACAUCGGAAUCUACUUUUUCGUGGGGGAUAACGGAGGGAAACUUACGCUAAUACCGCAUACGACCUACGGGUGAAAGCAGGGGAUCUUCGGACGUGGCGCGAUUGAAUGAGCCGAUGUCGGAUUAGCUAGUUGGCGGGGUAAAGGCCCACCAAGGCGACGAUCCGUAGCUGGUCGGAGAGGAUGUACAGCCACACUGGAACUGAGACACGGUCCAGACUCCUACGGGAGGCAGCGGUGGGGAAUAUUGGACGAAGGGCGCAAGCCUGAUCCAGCCAUACCGCGUGGGUGAAGAAGGCCUUCGGGUUGUAAAGCCCUUUUGUUGGGAAAGAAAAGCAGCAGGUUAAUCCCCCGCUGUUCUGACGGUACCCAAAGAAUAAGCACCGGCUAACUUCGUG